This 863-nucleotide long non-coding RNA is filed under the name Meleagris gallopavo (turkey). RNAcentral's name for it is "lncRNA (ENSMGAG00000018867.1)". Lineage: Eukaryota; Metazoa; Chordata; Aves; Galliformes; Phasianidae. The record is from RNAcentral.
UGUAUAUAGUUAUAAUCACAUAUUUCUUUCUAUUUUCUUUUUUUUUAACCUAGAAAUUUUUUUAACUCAUGAAUUCUAUUUUGUUUCCAGUUCUCCUCCUCGUCCCACUGAAGGGGUGACUGAACAAAUGGCUAUGUGGCCAUAUUAACCUGCUGCCUGCCAGGUUAAACUGCAAUAAAAGGAGCUCCUCCCAUUGAGUCAAGAAGUUUGGACAGGACCUUAAAAUCCUUGAACCACAGAGUGCUCUGGCAGCUAAGGAUGGCAGUGACAGUCCUCACUCUUGUGUAUGGAAAAGCCUGCAGGGAGAACCUGUGUUCUGCCACUAUUGUAAGUACAAGGCAUCUGAACUGAGGUUAGAAUUUCAGAUAAUUGGGUUCAGUUCCUGUCAUUACCACUUAUUUCCUCUGUGAGCUUGGCAGGCAUGCUUGUUCUGAGAAGAAAAGGUGCUAACAGCGUUUGCUGUCUUGACAGGAGAGGGUUGAAAAAAAUAAUCACUUAAAAAGAUAGAGGUAUUCUGGCCUGGAUUUGAUCUGAGAAAGGCUGCAAUCUGCUCUACCAGUCCCCACUUCACCUGCAGUUAUCUCUGGCUAUGGUGACAGCUGUGAUAUCUCUGGCUACAAGAGCUCUUUGAUGUCAUGAGAUCUGAGAGCAUCUGAGGGGACUUUUGACUUUGCUAUCUGAAGCUCCAAGAGCAGCCAUUAGGUGUGGCAAGGCAGGACAGAAAAAAAUAAAACCAAUAAGAUCUAUGAAAACUGUCUACACAUAGAACCAACCCAUCCUCUCCUCCCCCCGACCCCCCCCCCAAGAAAAACCAAACCAAAACAAAACAAAAAAAACCCCUCCAAAUAAUUGCAAAAAAAGCA